Molecule: ribosomal RNA, 228 nt
Filed under: uncultured bacterium
Lineage: Bacteria
Description: partial 16S ribosomal RNA
Rfam family: Bacterial small subunit ribosomal RNA
Source: RNAcentral
CCCCUAAAAGCCGUCCCAGUUCAGAUCGCAGUCUGCAACUCGACUGCGUGAAGUCGGAAUCGCUAGUAAUCGCGGAUCAGCAUGCCGCGGUGAAUACGUUCCCGGGCCUUGUACACACCGCCCGUCACACCAUGAGAGUCGGGAACACCCGAAGCCCGUAGCCUAACAGCAAUGAGGGCGCGGUCGGAGGUGGGUUCGAUAAUUGGGGUGAAGUCGUAACAAGGUAUC